Molecule: ribosomal RNA, 253 nt
Filed under: uncultured bacterium
Lineage: Bacteria
Description: partial 16S ribosomal RNA
Rfam family: Bacterial small subunit ribosomal RNA
Source: RNAcentral
UACGUAGGGGGCAAGCGUUGUCCGGAAUUAUUGGGCGUAAAGAGCUCGUAGGCGGUUUGUCGCGUCGGUUGUGAAAGCCCGGGGCUUAACCCUGGGUCUGCAGUCGAUACGGGCAGGCUAGAGUUCGGUAGGGGAGACUGGAAUUCCUGGUGUAGCGGUGAAAUGCGCAGAUAUCAGGAGGAACACCGGUGGCGAAGGCGGGUCUCUGGGCCGAUACUGACGCUGAGGAGCGAAAGCGUGGGGAGCGAACAGG